UUUUACACUCCAUCUUCAUCCAUUCAUCCAUUUUGUCCUAAACCUUUUCACACAUUACUUUCAAAACUUGAGAUAAAUAUUGUGCAAACAUCUUCAUGCUUUCAAAUUAAAAACCUGGACCCCAAGUCCUUGACUUUUCAAACUCCAUUUCAUAAUACUUCUUUUGAAUCAAUCUUAAUCAUACUUUGACCCUCCUUUU
Molecule: long non-coding RNA, 199 nt
Filed under: Lathyrus oleraceus (garden pea)
Lineage: Eukaryota; Viridiplantae; Streptophyta; Magnoliopsida; Fabales; Fabaceae
Description: Pisum sativum (pea) long non-coding RNA (PSAT_LNC014096)
Source: RNAcentral